RNAcentral lists this long non-coding RNA (20322 nucleotides) under Vitis vinifera (wine grape). RNAcentral describes it as "long non-coding RNA (VVIN_LNC001688)". Lineage: Eukaryota; Viridiplantae; Streptophyta; Magnoliopsida; Vitales; Vitaceae. The record is from RNAcentral.
AGGAGGGGGAGGUGAUGGUGAUGGAGGAGGUGGUGAUGGUGAAGGUGGUGGAGGUGAUUUGUAGAUGUAAGGAGGAGGAGGUGAUGGAGAUGGAGGAGGUGGGGAUUUGUAAACAUAUGGAGGUGGAGGUGAGGGAGAUGGUGGUGGUGGGGAUUUGUAAAUGUAAGGAGGGGGAGGUGAGGAUGAUGGAGAAGAUGGAGACUUAUAAACGUAAGAAGGAGGAGCUGAUGGAGAUAGAGUAGGAGAUUUGUAAAUAUAAGGAGGUGGUGGUGAUUUGUAAUUAUAAGGAGGGGGAGGUGAUGGAGAGGGUGGAGGUGAUGGUGAUGGCGGUGGUGGUGGUGGUGAUGGAGAAGGUGGACGUGAUUUAUAGCGAUAAGGCGGAAAGUCGCGUUGAUAAUAAAGUGGUGGUGGAGACUUAUAAACAUAUGGUGGUGGAGGUGGAGAUGCAUAAAUGUAAGGCUUGUCAUCGGCAGCUACAUUGGAGCUGGCUAUCAAGCCCAAUGCCAACACAUAAACCAGGUGAGGCCAAAUAUUGGCCAUUUCUGGAAAUUCUCGAACAAUACACCAGAAAAGUUCCCUCCUGCAGCUUAGGACUCUACCUUAAGGAUGGAAGGGGGAAUCUGUGAAUGACUGCAGAGGAGGGGCUCAGAGAUUACAUAGUAAUCGCUUAGGAGACUUCCAACAUUUGUUUAAUGGUUGUUUGAAGCUUCCAACCUUUAACAAGUCCUACACUAAAAAAAAAAUCCCAGUUUAUUCAAACGCUUGGAAGUUGGAAUGGGAACCCACUAACUUCUAUAUGAAAAACAUAACACAUUUCUGUGUCCAAGAAAUGGUCAUCAAGAAGAGUAAAAUGUGCAAGAACAUAUCAACUUGAGCAGGUCUCCGGUGACGUAAAAUGGAAACAGUCAGCUGUCUGAAAUGUACUAACCAGGACUGUCCGGUGUGUGGAUUAAAAUAUGAUAAAGUUUGGAACCAUUGGACCUGGAUCAAUAUUAGUGGCAUUGACAUUAGCAUUCUUUCCAUUCUUUUAGCAUUUAUAAUCAUGGAAAAUAUUGUUGGUGCGUCAUAGUCUCAGCUUGUCAGAAUAGACCAUUAUCAUUUGAUUAUGUGUGGCUUGGGAUCAAUUAGUCAAGAACAUCCUUGGCACGUUGUGAUCUACAUAUAUGUUUCAUUUUUCCAUGUACACCAAGAAAAAAUGGUCUCCUCCUUUUUCAGAACUUUGUUCCUAAUUGACUUUGGCCAUAGAUUUAAAAAAAUUUCAAAGCAACAAAUAUGUUUUACCAGUUCUGUUUUUCCAUGGUUAAUGUUAUUGGGAUGAGAACGGUAUGCACUAAGCCAAAAGCCAGUGCCAAAUUUUCUACAAAUGCAUGCAAGCCUAAUUUAAAUCACCACAUAUUUUUUCAAUAGAAAUUCAUUUCUUGGAUGGUAUUCUCCUCUUUGCUAGCUUUACAAAAGAUUGGAUUUUCCUAUUUAACAUGAGCAAGAAUACUAUGAACACUUCAUUUCUUUUUCUCUUUCUCAUGAUUUUUUGUAAAAUGCUUUGGGUUGCCUCUCAUCCUUCAUCAUUGCAAUUAAUCAGAUUCCAAAGUUGAGCUGGUUAACUAGCUCACUCACUAAUGGAUUAUGUGACAGAUUUUGCAUUUUGUAGUCCUUCCUUCAAAAAAGGGUGCAUUCAAAUUGUAAAAAGAGCACUUCUAAGCCUCCCAAAAGCACUCUUAACUAAUGGGCUCUAAAGUAUAUUUUAUGGUGCUUUUGCAAAGACAGAAUGGAGAAAGGCUUAGUAAGAUUAUCCAUGGUUCUCCGAAUUCAGUUUUGUUUUCUCGACAAAAAGGUUAAUUAACAUGAAAAAAUAUUACUUGUAUAUAGAAAUGAGUAGAAGUAGUGGACCCUUUUUUUUCCAUUAGAUCUGAGUAAAGAUGAAAGUUAUUUGGCAAAAGGAAAGAAACGUCAUUAAUCUCUUAAAUAUCUUCUUCAUGCAUUUUGCUAGAUAAAGGAUUGAUGGGGCGGGCAACAAAGGGAGAUUAUUUAAGGAGAUUUUGUAAUAACUACUUUGGAAUUGGGAGGUUUAGAAAGUGGAAGAGAAAAUGUUCAAGGAAUUAUUCAUUCCUCAAAUCUUCAUCCAUUCCUUUGUAUAGGGUUUGCCUCUAAAGGUCAACAAAACUGUUCAAAGUGUCUUUGAUAACAAUUUUAGAAAGUGUUUUUAACGUUUGUAAUACUUAUAUAAAAAAAAUUUGGUAAGUAUUAAAAAUAUUAAAAACACAUCAUAAAAUCACUAUUAAAAGAACUUUUAAAAAUUUAUAUGAAAUUAAUCAAGUUAAAUAAAGACAAGUUCUAACCUGUGGACAUAUAUGUAGAACUAAGGUCUUAGAACUGGUGAUGAUGCUAGAGAUUGCAAUCACAACUCACAACCAAAGAUCAUACAUGCUUGAAAGAAACAGAUUGAAAGGAAAUCUAUUUCAAUAUGGAUUAUAAAGUGUUUUUGUGGUUUAUAUAAAAAACAAUGACACUACAUGCAACUACAUAUGUACUUGCUUUAUAUGCUAACGACAUUAUUUAUAUGCUAGAUAUUAACUAGACACCAUCAAUCAGGUCUAUAUAUAUAUAUAUAUAUAUAUAUAUAUAUAUAUAUAUAUAUAUAUAUAUAUAUAUAUAUAUAUAUAUAUUAUUAUUUAUAUCCUUAUACUUUGAUCUCAUUUGUUUAUUUCUUCGUUCAACAACAUAAAUCUCAUCAUGCAUGUUUAAUGAUCCGGAUUUAGAGUUCAAUAGAUAUCACUAGGGUAGCUUAGGAUUUUCUUACCUAAAAUAACUAUAAGAAGUACUCAAAGAAAAAGAAAAUGAAUGAUCUAAAAGUGGAUCCCUUGCAACACUUCAAGGAGUCGAGAUUUGUACUUGGUUGGGCUUGGAAUUCUAAUAAUCCUAGUUGGCUGGGCACUUGGCUUUCUAAUAAUUCUAGUUGUCGCAUUAACGGAAACUGUACGUAACUCAACAGUAUGGACAAUUGAAAUGUUUAUGGAGUAUUGUUAAUCAAAGCUGCCAUGGGAAAAUCUUUUGUUUGAAGCCCUUCACUGAAAUAUUCAAUAAAUAUAGCUAGCGCCACUUUCCCUUAGAAAUAAUUCCCCCCAAUACCUUAAAUGGUAUGCAUAACUUCUUAUUCACUUUACACACCUAUUCAUCUUAAUUACCAAAUGCACCCACUUUCUUUUUUUAUUUUUAUUUUUUCUUUUAACUCAUUUUUUUAUAUUUAAAUUUUGGUAUUAAUCAAAUAUUAAUUUUAAUUUUUUUAAUUAUUUAAAAAAAUUACCAAAUCAGUUAAUGAAUUUAAUGCAUUAGCUCUCAAUUGAUUUGAAAUAUGUUUGUCUAAUGAUAAAACUUGAAAAUUAUACAGUUAUACGCACUUAAAAAAUUGGCCAAGCGAUUGUAGAUCAGUUUUGUUCCAACAAAUUCUAGUAUUAAUUGGCUUGAAUUGAGUUCUAAAUGAUUUUUAAACUUUGUUAAACUUAUUAAGGAAUCCAACGCAUCAAAUUGGAUUUAGAAGAUGACACAUCUCAAAGCAAAACAAUAGGGAAAGGUAUAACAAAUCACAAAUUCAAUGUUAUAAAUAUCAAAAAUUAAACUGAAACAAUCUCAAAUGACAAAAAUUAAAAAGAUUCUAUAGAUAAGGAAAUAAAAGCAAUAAAGAAAAAUAACACAUUGAAAUUAAAUCCCUUCCAAAAGGGAAAAAGGCAAUUGGAGGAAAAUAGGUAAACAAUGAGUCAAAUCCUAUUUUUCGAAAACAACCAAAUGUUUAGAAAACAAUAAUAAAUAAAUAAAUAAAAUGAAAUAAAAUAAAAUAAAUAAGAUCUCCUUUAAGACUAAAUGAUUCCAUUGAAUUGAGUAUGAUUGUAUGUGUGAUAGCAUCAACUAUACUAAGAAUAUCAAUGACCUUUUGGCAACCAACCUUCAAAAUAUAAAGAGGAAAGAUGUGCAAAGAAGAAUCUAAAAGGAGAAAUAGAGAGACACAAAGUAAGAUUAGUGGUUAAGGGUUACAAGCAUCAACUUGUAAACAACACAUUAGCAAUUGCACUAUCAAAAAAAUCCAAUUUUAUAUGUUUGAAACAAUAUAUUGAUACAAAAUAUCAUUUUAUUAGAGAGUACAUGAUGAAGAAGAAAGUAUAAUUAAAUUUGCAAAAUCUCAAGAUUAAAUUGCAAAUAUUUUCACCAAACCUCUCAAGUUUAAAAAUUUCAGAAAGUUAAGUAUGUUACUUGGAGUUACAAAUAAAGUUUAAGGGGAAUAUUGGAAAGUUAAACUUGAUUUAGAAAGUUUCCAAAAAUUAGAACUAGAUUUAGUCUCCACAAUUCAAAGAUAAUAUUUUAUUUUCAAUGGUUGUUUAUAUUUGAGUAGUCAAGUUCUAGAAGGUUAAUUUCUAUAUUUUGUUAUUAGAAUUUUCUAUUUUGUUAAGUGUAAAUAUCUAUAAAUAAGAUUUUAUGUAAUAUUUGAAUAAGAAAGUGUAAAGAUGAAUCUCACCUACGGAUAAUAGCUAGAAGGGGCUAAAUAGAUGUUUUUUAAGACAUCUUAAGAUGGUAUUUCACAAAUGCUUACAAAUCCCUUAUUUUUCUCAAAUGUUUUGGUUUGUUUUUUUUAUUUUAUUAACAAAAAAAAAAAAAAAAAACAAAUCAUAAGUAAUAAUGGAUGCAUCAACACUCUCUCAUUAAGUGAGUCAAUACAAAUCACGUACAAAUGAAUCAACACUCCUCAACUAUAAUGUAUAAGACAUUAUAUGCAUCAACACAAAUCCCAUUUUCGCAUGUCCCUUGACAUUAAUAUCAAAAACUGAAAUAUACCAUAUUCUUUCAAAGCUUCAAUGGUUUAAUUUAAGCUCAUAUUUCAAUUAAACAACAAAUAAUUCAAUAGAAAUAUCAUAAGCUAAUGAAAAACUAAAUAAAAGAUGAGGUAGAAUAGAGAAACAAUGACACCAAUAUUUUAUCAUGGAAAACCUACAAAGGGAGAAAAAACCAUAGACCUCGAGCGAUCAAAUCAUUCACCAUGAAGAAAAUUGACUAAGUACAAGGAUUUACCUAACCCAAACCUUCAAUCCUCUCCCGGUCCACUUGCCUAAAAUCUUCAAACUUUAGCAACCCACUUUCUUCUUCUAGAACACACUUCAAAUCCAUACCAAGUUUGAUCUUGACCUCUUCUUAAAUCCACAUAAGAAGAUAUUUGAGUUUUUACCCCAAAUAAGAUGAAUACAAGCGUAGAGAUGAAACUCACACCGAAUCAACCUAUUUUGAAAGAAAUUUUCUCACUCAAAAAUGAUUUUCAACUCAAACCCAUAAAAUUUUCAGUCAAACCAAACACCCCGAAAACAGGUAAUAGAAUAUGAAGCUCAAGGGAGGCCACCUAUCUCUCUCAGCCCACCCUUCCUCUUAUAAAAAUAGAGCUUACAUAUUAGGGUUUUAAAACCCAUUAAACGGCUGAGAUUUGUUUGGAAAAUAAUGAAGAUUCGUAGUGUGAUCGAAGUCUGAUCACAAGACUGAAAAAAUCUGGGUUCAACAAAAACUGUUACCCUUCAGUUUUAUGUUGUGGUUGAGUACUACUCGAUAAUAGUGAGUGGUAGCAUUUAUGGAGGACCAUCACAUGAUGGUCCAAAUGAGAAGUAGCUAGAUAUGAUACUAAAAAUUGAUGUAAGGUAAUCAAGUAAAAGUUAACGAGUUGGAUCGAAACAGGUUCUGACUUUCUGUACGUAGCUGCAUUUAGAAAUGAAGGUUUUACAGGCAAAGAUGUUUCAGACACUUCUUCACCAAACCCAUGUAUAAAAGGAACAGAUUGAACCGAAAGCUACUUCAUUAUGGUUUUGUGGAGAGUUGCUUUUCUUGAGAAGUUCUAUAUAGGCUUUCUGUUACUUGUGACCUAAGUGCUUCAAAUCAAUCAAUUUGCUUUUCGUGCCAGAAUGAAAGCAUUGAUUAUAUUAGAAGUUCAUGUUCAAGUUUAAAGUAAAGUAAAUAUGUGAAGACAGCUAAAUCGUUUAAGGCAUUUUUUUGUUAUCAAAUCUAAUUCCCUUUAUUUCCCUCCAUUUUUUUUUUCUCAGCUUCUGAGUUCAUGAAAUUACAGUUACAUGGAAUUUGGCCCACAGGAAAUCUCUUUUAGAAAAUCUUAUCUGGUUUACUUCACAAUUUUUGUUUAGAUGUGAAAAUUAAGAACAAUUGCAUGCUGUUGAUCAAGACAUCCAUGUUUAGCAAUUCAUCCUCUCAUUGAAAUAAAUGUAAAUGUUCCAUUUAUUUAAAAGUUUGCGAAUCUUAAGUAGAUGGCAAACAGAUCAAUAAGGUCCAAUAACAGAACAAAUUAAUGGCUAGUAUAUACUGAAAGAGAACUCAAGGGUAUAAAAUAAAAACAAAAUGAUCCAAACUGCAAAGCAUCAUGGCCAUGGCAAGGUCCUUAUUGUUGAACUGGCUGUCUUUCUUUGAUGUUAAUAGUCGUUGUACCCCCAAAAGAUCUUCCUGUUCCUUCUGAUAUCAAUUAUUCAUUCUAUCCUAUAAUCUGCACGGAAAACAGAGGAAUGUUAAAUACUGUAUGAAUGAUGAAAAUGGGAAAUGUGGUCUGUAUUAUAUAUACUUACAUGAAACUAGAAGAGGCAAUUCAUUUAGUAAUAUGGUGGAGGAGGUGAAGGAGAGGAAGGGGGUGGUGACUUGUGGUAGUAGACUGGUGGUUGGGGUGAUGGAGAAGGUAGUGGUGGGGAUUUGUAGAGGUAUGGUGGAAGAGGAGAUGGAGAUGGAGGAGGUGAGGACUUGUAAUAGGAUGGAGAAGGUGGUGGUGGUGAUUUGUAGUAGUAAGGAGGAGGUGGGGAAGGAGAUGGUAGAGGUGGGGACUUAUAGUAAUAAGGAGGUUGAGGAGAUGGUGAUGGAGGAGGAGGUAAUUUAUAGUCGUAGUGAGGAGGGGGUGAUGGUGAAGGUAGUGGUGGUGACUUGUAGUAAUACCACGGAGGAAGAGAUGGAGAUGGAGCCAGAGGUGACAGCGGUGGUAGUGAUUUGUAGUAAUAAGGAGGCAGUGAUGAUGGAAAAGGUGGGAGCGGUGGCAGUGAUUUAUGGUAAUAAGGAGGUAGUGAUGAUGGAAAAGGUGGGAGCGGUGGCCGUGAUUUAUAGUAAUAAGGAGGUAGUGAUGAUGGAAAAGGUGGGGAUGCAAAAGUAUUAGGAUUGUAAGGCUCGUCUUCAGCAGCUACAUUAGCGGCAAUCAAGCACAAAGCCAAGACACAAAUCAGGUGAGGCCAAAAAUUGGCCAUUUCCAGAACACGAGAAAAUUUCACUCCUACAACUCAAGAACUUCUAUUUCUUAGAACAGAAGGGAUUUUGUGAAUGAUGCUUCAAGGUAGAGGCUCAGAGUUUAUAUAGUCAUCCUUUCCAUAAUUCUUUCAUUUGUUUAAUUAGUAGUUGUUGAAGCCUCCAAUCUUUAACAAGUCUACAACUAAAUGGUAUUCCCCUAUUUUCUAUGUGUUACCUGCACAUCUGUCCAUGAAAAGUCAAGAAGAUUAGUAAACAUAUAUAUACAAGAGUGCAUUUCAGUUUUGGUUGUUGGGAGCCUAGAAGCUUCCCCAUAUAUUAUGUCAAAUGUGACUGCCAUCUUUAAGAAUUUACCAUGGAAAACUCAACAUAAAAUAUUACUAUGAAGCAUGUCUACCAAGCAAAAAGCUAGGGCUAUUAGAUCUCCUUCUACCAUAACUUCCUGUUUUUCGAAAAUUUGUCAUACAUUGAAACCUUUUUCAAAACAACAAAAAGAUUUAAUAUUGCAAAUAAUUUACGGGCAUUAAUUAGGAAGGUAAUGCACUAAUAAACCUAAAAUCAAUGCCAAUUUUUCUAGAAAGGCAUCGUUGUCUUUCAAUAACUUCUUAAGCUAGCUAUUUAAUAUUAUAGGACGACUAGGUCUAUGAAUGAGAUCAUCAUAUGCAUUUUCAAUAACAAGUAAUGGACCCUUGUUUUUCCAUUGGAUUUGAGUAACGAUGAAAGUUCUUUAGGAAAAGGAAAGAAACAUAAUUAAUCUCUUAAAUUUCUUCUUCAUGCAUGUUGCUAGAUAAAGGAUUGAUGGGGCAAGCAACAAAGGGAGAUUAUUUAAAGAGAUUUUGUAAUAACUACUUUGGAAUUGGGAGUUGUAGAAAGUGGAAGAGAAAAUGUUCAAGGAAUAGUUCAUUCCUCAAAUGUUCAUCCAUUCCUUUGUAUAGGGUUUUGCCUUUAAAUAUCAACAAAACUGCUCAAGGUGUAUUUGAUAGUAAUUUUAGAAAGUAUUUUUAACCUUUAUAAUACUUAAAAAAAAAAAAAAUUGUUAAGUGUCAAAAAUAUUAAAAACACAUCUUAAAAUCACUACUAAACGGACUCUUAAAAGUUCAUAUGAAAUUAAUCAAAUUAGAUAAGGACAGGUUCUAACCUGUGGACAUAUAUGUAGAACUAAGGUCUUAGAACCGGUGAUGAUGAGAUUGCAAUCACAACUCACAACCAAAUAUCAUACAUACUUGAAAGAAACAAAUUGGAAGGAAAUCUAUUUCAAUAUGAAUUAUAAAGUGUUUUUGUGGUUAAUAUAAAAAAUAAUGACACUACAUGCAACUUACAUAUGUACUUGCUUUAUAUGCUAACGACAUUAUUUAUAUGCUAGAUAUUAACUAGACACCAUCAAUCAAGUCUAUAUAUAUAUAUAUAUUAUUAUUUAUAUCUUUAUACUUUGAUCUCAUUUGUUUAUUUCUUCGUUCAACAACACAAAUCUCAUCAUGCAUGUUUAAUGAUCCGGAUUUAGAGCUCAAUAGAUAUCACUAGGGUAGCUUAGGAUUUUCUUACCUAAAAUUACUAUAAGAAGUACUCAAGGAAAAAGAAAAUGAAUGAUCUAAAAGUGGAUCCCUUGCAACACUUCAAGGAGUCGAGAUUUGUACUUGGUUGGGCUUGGAAUUCUAAUAAUCCUAGUUGGCUGGGCACUUGGCUUUCUAAUAAUUCUAGUUGUCGCAUUAACGGAAACUGUUUGUAACUCAACAGUAUGGACAAUUGAAAUGUUUAUGGAGUAUUGUUAAUCAAAGCUGCCAUGGGAAAAUCUUUUGUUUGAAGCCCUUCACUGGAAUAUUCAAUAAAUAUAGCUAGCGCCACUUUCCCUCAGAAAUAAUUCCCCCCAAUACCUUAAAUGGUAUGCUUAAUUUCUUAUUCACUUUUACACACCUAUUCAUCUUAAUUACCAAAUGCACCCACUUUCUGUUUUUUUUUUCUUUUAACUCAUUAAUGUUUUAAAAAAAAUUGGUAUUAAUCAAAUAUUAAUUUUAAAAUUUUUAAUUAUUUUAAAAAAUUAUCAUAUCGGUUAAGAAAUUUAAUGCAUUAGCUCUCACUUGAUUUGAAAUAUGUUUGUCUAAUGAUAGAACUUGAAAAUUAUAUAGUUACACGCACAUAAAAAAUUGGCCAAGCCAUUGUAGACCGGUUUUGUUCCAACAAAUUCUAGUAUUAAUUGGCUCGAAUCAAGUUCUAAAUGAUUUUUAAAAUUUAUUAAACUUAUUAAGGAAUCCAAUGCAUCAAAUUGGAUUUAGAAGAUGACACAUCUCAAAGCAAAACAAUAGGGAAAGGUAUAAUAAAUCACAAAUUCAAUGUUAUAAAUAUCAAAAAUUAAACUGGAAUAAUCUCAAAUGACAAAAAUUAAGAAGAUUCUAUAGAUAAGGAAAUAAAAGCAAUAACAAAACAUAAUACAUUGAAACUAAAAUCCUUUCCAAAAGAGAAAAAGGCAAUUGGAGGAAAAUGGGUAAACAAUGAGUCAAAUCCUAUUUUUUGAAAACAACCAAAGGUUUAUAAAAUAAUAAUAAAUAAAUAAAUAAAAUGAAAUAAAAUAAAAUAAAUAAGAUCUCCUUUAAGACUAAAUGAUUCCAUUGAAUUGAGUAUGAUUGUGUGUGUGAUAGCAUCAACAGUACUAAGAAUAUCAAUGACCUUUUGGCAACCAACCUUCAAAAUAUAAAGGGGAAAGAUGUGCAAAGAAGAAUGUAAAAGGAGAAAUAUUAGAGAGACACAAAGUAAGAUUAGUGGUUAAGGGUUACAAGCAUCAACUUGUAAACAACAAAUUAGCAAUUGCACUAUCAAAAAAUCCAAUUUUAUAUGUUUGAAACAAGAUAUCAAUACAAAAUAUCAUUUUAUUAGAGAGUGCAUAAUGAAGAAGAAAGUAUAAUUAAAUUUGCAAAAUCUCAAGAUUAAAUUGCAAAUAUUUUUACCAAACCUCUCAAGUUUAAAAAUUUUAGAAAGUUAAGUAUAUUACUUGGAGUUACAAAUAAAGUUUAAGGGGGAUAUUGGAAAGUUAAACUUGAUUUAGAAAGUUUCCAAAACUUAGAACUAGAUUUAGUCUCCACAAUUCAAAGAUAAUAUUUUAUUUUCAAUGGUUGUUUAUAUUUGAGUAGUCAAGUCCUAGAAGGUUAAUUUCUAUAUUUUGUUAUUAGAAUUUUCUAUUUUGUUAAGUGUAAAUAUCUAUAAAUAAGAUUUUAUGUAAUAUUUGAAUAAGAAAGUGUGAAGAUGAAUCUCACCUAUGGAUAACAGCUAGAGGGGGCUAAAUAGAUGUUUUUUAAAACAACUUAAGAUGGUAUCUCACAAAUGCUUACAAAUCCCUUAUUUUUCUCAAAUGUUUUGGUUUGUUUUUUUUUAUCUUAUUAAAAAAAAAACAAAUCAUAAGUAAUAAUGGAUGCAUCAACACUCUCUCAUUAAGUGAGUCAAUGCAAAUCACAUACAAAUGAAUCAACACUCCUCAACUAUAAUGUAUAAGACAUUAUAUGCAUCGACACAAAUCCCAUUUUCGCAUGUCCCAUGACAUUAAUAUCAAAAACUGAAAUAUACCAUAUUCUAUCAAAGCUUCAAUGGUUUAAUUUAAGCUCAUAUCUCAAUUAAACAACAAAAUAAUUCAAUAGAAAUAUCAUAAGCUAAUGAAAAACUAAUUAAAAGAUGAGGUAGAAUAGACAUAUAAGGGAAGCAGCCUAAAAUCAUGCCUAUCAUUCAAUUCUAUAUUCUGUCAUAUAGCUGUAUAUUGUAACAGUAGCAUAGAUUUAGCCUUACCGUUUCUAAAUUUGAAUCAUAUAGUUGUAUAUUGUAACGGUAGCAUCCUUAUCGUGUAUAUGUUUCUUAAACUAGCUUCUUAAUCACUUUAUAUAAUAGAGUUUCCAUCAAUAAAAUGAGUUGGAAAUUCUUCAUUGAAACUACGACAAUAUUUUUUUCUUUAUAUGGUAUCAGAGCACUGAUCUCAAAUGAGCCAUCGAUCCAAGUUAUCACCAUGCCUUCCUCCUCUGAUCAAACUCCAAACUUUAAUCUCAAUACUCAACUUCCAUCUGCAGUCGAUAAACCCCUAAUUGCUCUCAAUAUCACAACCCAAAUCAAUGAAAAAUUAACUCCCUCCACAUUUUCUCAAUGGUGUGCUCAAUUUGAAGCACUCAUUAUUGGUUACGAUUUACUCAACUAUGUUGAAGGCACCAUUCGGUGCCCUUCCUCUACUGCUACUCCUACUGAUGAGUUGCACAAAACCCAUUGGGUCCGAUAGGAUAAACUUAUCUUGAGUGCUAUUCUAGCCUCCACAUCUUCUUCAAUCACACCACUCAUUGCUACGUCAAAGACCUCCCAUGAAGCUUGGAAAAAAUUAAAACCUCUAUAUGCUACCCGAUCAAGAACACAUGCUAUGCAAUUAAAGGAGGAACUCACCUUAAUCCAGCGAGGAGAUCGGUCGAUUAUAGAAUGCAUCCAUCCUCUAAAGUCCUUGGCCAAUGAAAUAACCAUUAUUGAUCAUUCAAUUUCGGAUGAUGACCUAACCCUUUGUGUGUUGAAUGGCUUAGGUCUAGAUUUUCGAGAGAUUGUUGUGCAUAUCUGAGCUCGAGAAUCAUCACUGGCUUUUGAGGAGUUGCAUGAUCUUUUGGUUGGACACGAGGCAUACUUAUGACGCAUAGGAGUUGCGAUGCAGAACCUAGUUGCUUCUGCAAAUUUCAUAAAGAUGACGAAGUAGUCUCCACAAUGAGGAAGUCACCCGUGGUCUUUCAAGCAAACUAGCUUUCACCAUGAGCCUCGAGGUUCUCAACAAAGCUGCAACUCAAAUGGAGCCCAACGUGAUGGAUGUCGCUCCAACAAUAACUCUAGGCGACCCAACAACUCCAAUUGGUGUUACCAGCCCAAAUGUCAAAUUUAUGACCAAUUGGGCCACACUGCAAAGUUCUGUCCUCAACUCCAUUCAUAGAAUGCCUCCAUCAAUUGUGCUGCAAUCUCUACUGGCAAGGACAAAAAUUGGUUACUUGAUUCGACUAUUUCUCAUAAUAUCACGGGUGAUCUUUCCAACUUAUCUAUUCACUCCGAAUAUGAUGGAAUUGACAAAGUAAUUCUCAGUAAUGGUUCAAGUUUGGUUGUCUCACACAUCGGUUUUUUGGAUUUACACUCCCCUCAUCGAAAUUUUACAUUGCAUGAUACUCUUUGUGUUCCAAAUCUUUGCAGAAAUUUAAUUUCCGUUCAUCAUCUCACCAAACAAAACAAUGUCUUGGUUGAAUUUCACCAUUUUCAUUUUCUUGUGAAGAACAAGAUCACGGGGGCAAUCCUACUAAGAAGAGCAUGUAACAAUGGCAUCUACACUUUUCCGACAUCAAUGGUGGCAUAAAAAAAUAUUGCUAAUGUGCAUGAACACAGAUGGAUGGCACAAGCGUCUUGGGAUUCCUUCUACUAAAAUUGCCCAUCAUCUUGUCAAUAAAUUUUCUCUUCCUAUGUCCUUGAACAAAAAGUUUAUCUUCAUUAUGUUCUUCAUGUUCUAUUAAUAAAGCACAUCAACAACCACUUUGUGUCACUAGUCUCCAAAGUCAUGAGCCACUUGACCUUAUUUACACGGAUGUGUGGGGUCCCGCUAGUUAUACUGGAAUUGAUGGAUCACGAUAUUACCUUAUUUUUGUUGAUCAUUAUACAAAAUAUAUAUGAUUUUAUCCAAUGGUCACAAAAUCCAAUGUUUCUAAUAUUUUCCCGCAUUUCAAAAAGUUUGUUGAAACUUGUUUUUAAAAAUCUAUUAAAACACUUUACUUCAAAAAUGGUGGUGAGUUUAUCGCUUUAAAAUCUUAUUUAUUACUUCAUGGCAUAACUCACUACACCACUGCUCCACACACUCAACAACAAAAUGGUGUCUUUGAACGUUAUCACUGUCAUCUCGUUGAAACGAACCUUACACUUCUUCAUGAUGCAAAUCUUGCUUUCUCAUAUUGGCCCUAUGCUUUUCAAACAACUUCUUAUCUCAUAAAUAAACAACCAAUGCCUUUCCUCCAAGAAAAAAAUACCUUUUGAAGCCCUUUUUGGUCAACCACCCAAUUACUUGAAAUUAAAAAAAUUUGGGUGCAUUUGUUAGCCCCUCACACGAGCCUAUAAUUCAAAUAAAAUGCAGCCCAAAUCCAAAGUCUGCAUUUUUCUCGGUUAUUCACCAACCCAAAACGCAUACAAGUGUUUUGAACCUCAAACAAAAAAUUCUUUCUCUCACGGCAUGUGUUAUUUGAUGAAAAUCUAACAUAUUCCAGUCUAUCCUAAACUGCGUCUUCCAUAACAACCCAACCCACUCGAGAAUCUCACAUUUUUUUUCAUUUUUUCUUCUUCAAUUCUCAGCAGGCUGUCGUGUCUCCAUCACAGUUGUCCGGUACACCUAUCUCAUCGUUGUCUCCGGAAGGUCCGCCUACCAUUGUUGCGUCUUCCUUAGGUGAUUUCGGACCCUCUGCUCCUUUCUUUCAUGAUUGCUUGCAAACCCUAGAUCACAACACCACCCACUUGAAUUUUCCUUUACAUGACACUCAGACUGGUCCUUCUUUAAAUUUGCAAUCACGCUCUCAUGAUCAGCAUCUAGGUCUAGCUAAUACUUCCAAUUUUCCAACCCCUACCGAAACCAAUAAUUUUCCCCAACGCACUCAUACCAUGACCAUAAGAUCAAUGUACCAAAUCUUCAAACCCAAACAACUCCACACUGUGUCAAAAUAUCCUCUCUCCUCGACCAUUGAACCAACCAAUGUGAGCCAAGCCAUUUCUCAACCUCAUUGGCGUGAGGUCAUGUCUAAUGAGCUUACUGCUCUAAUGAAACAUAGGACUUGGGACAUAGUUUUACCACCUUCAAACUGUAAACCCGUGGGUUGUAAAUGGGUAUUUUGAGUAAAAAGAAAAGCUGAUGGGUCAGUGGACAGGUUCAAAGUCUGUCUAGUUGCUAAGGGCUAUAAUCAACGUCUUGGUGUUGAUUACAAAGACACUUUUAGUCUUGUCAUCAAACCAACAACUAUUAGAUUUGUCCUAUCUAUUGUAGUCAUGAAUGGAUGGGUUUUGAGGCAACUGAAUAUCAACAAUGCUUUUCUAAAUGGUGAAUUAUCUGAGACUGUGUUUAUGGCAUAACCCCCAGGGUUCAAAGAUUUGUCCAAACCUAAUCAUGUUUGCAAGUUAAAAAAAUGCCAUCUAUGGGCUUAAAUAAGCCCCGCGAGCUUGGUACACAAUGCUAAAAAAUGCCAUUCUUCAGUUGGGUUUUCAUAAUUCCAAAGUGGAUUCCUCUCUCUUCAUUUACAACCAUGGUUCCAAUCUUUAUUAUUUCUACAGGGAAUAAUUUCAUACUUAUGGCCACUAUUAUGAAGCAGCUGGGUGACAUGUUUUCUCUCAAAGAUAUGGGUUCUCUUCAUUUUUUCUUAGGAAUUGAAGUAAUUCCUACUCGGGCAGGAUUAUUCCUCUCACAACAUAAAUAUGUUCAUGAACUUUUAGCCCACACCAGUAUGAGUAGUGCAAAAGAUGUCUCCAUACCUCUCUCUACCACUCAAUCUCUUCAACUGGUUGAUGGCAUUGUUGCUGUGGACAACUCAGAGUUCUGUAAAAUCAUUGGCAGCCUUCAAUACCUUUCUUUGACGCAUCCAGAUAUCUCAUUUGCAGUAAAAAAAACUCUCGCAAUUUAUGCACAAGCCGACUACAAAUCACUGGACAGAAACCAAACGACUCAUUCGAUACUUAAAACAAACCAUUUUUUUAUGGUAUUCAAAUCAACAAAGCUGGAACUCCAGUAUUAAGAACAUACUCAGAUGUAGAUUGGGCUGGAAAUGUGGACGACUGCACGUCCACCUCUGCUUCUAUCAAUUUUUUGGGAUCUAACCAAAUUUCUUGGAGCUCAAAGAAACAAAGAGCAGUUGCAAGAUCCUCAAUAGAAGUUGAAUACCGAGACUAGCAACUGCGGCUUCCGAGACAAUGUGGAUGUCUACUCUCUUCAAAGAACUAGCAUUUCCAAUCAAAGAAUCUCCCCAAUUGUUAUGUGACAACCUUGGAGCCACACAUCUCAGUUUUAACUCGGUUAAUCAUUCACGCAUGAAACACAUUCAAAUUGACCUUCACUUUGUGCGUGACUUAGUGCAAAAAGGAAGCAUCCAAGUCAGCCAUGUACAUACUCAAGACCAAUUAGCUUAUCUGUUAGCAAAGUCGUUGUCCAAACAACGCACAGAAUUGUUACGCAACAACAUUGUCCUUACCGAUGGAAGCCCUAUCUUGCAGGGGUGUAUAAGGGAAACAUCCUAAAAUCAUGCCUAUCAUUCAAUUCUAUAUUCUGUCAUAUAGUUGUAUAUUGUAACAGUAGCAUCCUUACCGUGUAUAAGUUUCCUAAACUAGCUUCUCAAUCACUCUAUAUAACAGAGUUUCUAUCAAUAAAAUGAGUGGGAAAUUCUUCAUUGAAACUACGACAAUAUUUGUUUCUCUAUAAGAGAAACGGUGACACCAAUAUUUUAGCAUGGAAAACCUAAAAAAAGGAGAAAAAACCAUAGACCUCUAGCGAUCAAAUCAUUCACCAUGAAGAAAAUUAACUAAGUACAAGGAUUUACCUAACCCAAACUUUCAAUCCUCUCUUGGUCCACUUGCCUAAAAUCUUCAGACUUUAGCAACCCACUUUCUUCUUCUAGAACACACUUCAAAUCCAUACUAAGUUUGAUCUUGACCUCUUCUUAAAUCCACAUAAGAAGAUAUUUGAGUUUUUACCCCAAAUAAGAUGAAUAUAAGCGUAAAGAUGAAACUCACACUGAAUCAACCUAUUUUGAAAGAAAUUUUUUCACUUAAAAAUGAAUUUCAACUCAAACCCAUAAAAUUUUCAUUCAAACCAAACACCUCAAAAACAGGUAAAAGAAUAUGAAGCUCAAGAGAGGCCACCUAUCUCUUUCAGCCCGCCCUUCCUCUUAUAGAAAUAGAGCUUAAAUAUUAGGGUUUUAAAACCCAUUAAACGGAUGAGAUUUGUUUGGAAAAUAAUGAAGAUUCAUAGUGUGAUCGAAACCUGAUCACAAGACUGAAAAAAUCUGGGUUCAACAAAAACUGUUACCCUUCAGUUUUAUGUUGUGGUUGAGUACUACUCGAUAAUAGUGAGUGAUAUCAUUUAUGGAGGACCAUCACAUGAUGGUCCAAAUGAGAAGUAGAUAUGAUACUAAAAAUUGAUGUAAGGUAAUGUCCCGUCCCAAGACCCACUCCAAGGGCAUGAAGGUCAUUUCACACCUCAAACCCAAAGGCUUAAAGUGUAACCUGACCCAAACAAUUAUCUUAUAACUGGAAGUUACCAAUUACCAAAUACCUGUUUAGAGUAGCAAAAUAAAAUUCUAAAAUCUUCAAAACUUAACUUUAAAACUAAGCAUCCAUCAACCAAAAUCCAUUUUCCAAAUAAAUUGCAAACUCAAACAAUUCAAGUGCUAACAAAAAUUUUCAUAAUCUCCAAAUCUCAACUUCAAACUAUCAAAAAAAAUUUAAAAGUUCAAUAUCUAAAUAGCUUCCAAAAACCAAAUAAUCCAAAUGAACAUAAACUUAUAAGCUAACAAUGUCCAAAAAUAACAUCCUAAGCAAAAUCCUAAUGAUGACCAUUCCCCGACCUAGCCAUCACUCAUCGCCCGAACUAAGUGUACCUGAAAAAUUAUCAACAAAAGAGAAUGAGCUCAAAGCCCAAUAAGGAACAUUAUUAUAGUCCAUGGAUCAAAUAUUUCAAGUUCACUUGUAAAAUAGGAGAUAUUAUAACUAAUUAUUUUCAUAAACCUUUGAGUCAGUUUUGUCAAUACAUUCAAAACUUUUAAUUGAACACUUUCAUUUCUGAUUCAAACAUUUUCAUAUCAAAUUCAGUCAAAACAUUCAAAUCAUUUAUUUACUUUGGUCAUCAAACAUUAAAUGAUGUCCAAUUAGGUGAGACUUUUCAAAUAAGUGGCUAGCCUCAAAUUGUUCAUUUAAGGUGGACGAAACCAAACACUACUAGUACUAGUAACCUCUAACCAAACCCCUAGAGGUUGGGGUCCAAAUCAAUUACAUUCCCCACCAAGAAAUGUAAAUGUCAACUAUUAUAUUUCGUCGACAAGGGUCAAACAAACCAAAAUCAAACACUUAUUUCAAUUAUUCAAAUUUGCAAAACAUAAUAUCUCCAUAUUUCUCUGUUGUGAACAAAAUGUAAGGUUCUAACAUACUUUUCAUGCAAAACAUAUUUGAUUCAUGCAUAAAACGAAUAAUAACUCAAAGCGUUUCCAAAUGAUGUAUAUAAAAAUUUGUUUCUAAAAAAAAAAAAAAACCUGCAUUAAUUUCCCUUACCUCAAAAGAAGUCUUCAAAAACUUAGGAGAAAAAUAAUUCUUAAAAAUCUACUCCUCACCUAACAAAGUAUAAGAGAAAUAACCAUUAUUAUUUAUCUAAAAUUAUAGGUUUGACAAUCCUAAAAGGUAUUCAAAUUAAUGUUUUUAAUUAUAAAAGAUAAUUUAAUCUAUUCCUAUUUUAGAAAAAUUAAUAAAUUUCUAAUUCAUAUAAAACUUAAAUUUUAUUUUCAAUUUAUUUCUUAGGAUACAACAUAAUUUAAUUAAACUACAAUUUAUUCUACUAAUUAAAUUUUAUGCCACUUAUUAACUUACACUCAUCAUUAGUAUAAUAAUAUUGAUAACUUCUAUUCUCUUUCUUUCAAUUUUUUUUUUCCACUAAACAUAAAUUGUAACCCUAACAAUUCUCCAUUAUUGCUAACAUAAUAAUGUAAAGAUAUUUAUUAACCACCAAACACCAUCCGUACACAUCUUCCUUUAUUAUUAAUAUUACUAUUUUUUUUCUUUUAAAAAAAAUAAAAAAUUCCUCCAGUGCAAGUGUGUUCUUUUUUUUUCCCCUAAUGUUUUCUAAUCCCUUAACCCACAUAUAAUAAUAUAUUUAUUUACUCAUUUAUUUAUUUAUUUUUAAAAAAAUCAUUACUUAGAUCUAUUCAUCUAAAAAAUUUUGAAUUUCCCUUAUUUCAACAAUAGAACAAUCUAUAUUCCCAAUUUCAAUAUUUUGACCUAAAAGUUUUAAAUAGGUUAAGUCUAGCCUAAAUUGAAAUCUUUCAAAGAAAUUUUUUUUUUUUUCAAAAACUUAAGAUUUCCCAAUUUUUAAUAAUAAAACCACCAAUAAUCCUAAAUUUCUAAUAUUUUGAUAUUAAAACGAAUUAAAAAAAAAACUAACCCUAAUCUAAAUUAAAAAAAUAAAAUUCAAAGAAUAACUAACGUGUUUAGAACUAACUAUUGAAUAUAAUAUAUUAAUUUAAGAUUAGAAUCUUACCUAGAAAAAAAACCUGAAUUUCAACUUUAAAUCUCUAACCCUUGAGCCCUACGAACUCCAAUUCUCUACUUCUAGUUAAUAGGGUUUUCUGAACGAAGAAGAAAAGAGGAAAAAUCCAAUUUAUACCUAGGAUUUUUAAUUGUAAAAUGACUCUUUCACCCUCAAUGAAUUUAAUUAAUUAUUUAAUUACUUUAUAAAUUACUAGUUUGCCCCUAGAUUAAAUUUUGGGGUGUUACAGGUAAUCAAGUAAAAGUUAACGAGUUGGAUCGAAACAGGUUCUGACUUUCUGUAGCUGCAUUUAGAAAUGAAGGUUUUACAGGUAAAGAUGUUUCAGACACUUCUUCACCAAAACCCAUGUGUAAAAGGAACAGAUUGAACCGAAAGCUACUUCAUUAUGGUUUUGUGGAGAGUUGCUUUUCUUGAGAAGUUCUAUAUAGGCUUUCAGUUACUUGUGACCUAUUGUGCUUCAAAUCAAUCAAUUUGAUUUUCGUGCCAGAAUGAAAGCAUUGAUUAUACUAGAAGUUCAUGUUCAAGUUUAAAGUAAAGUAAAUAUGCGAAGACUGUUUUUUGUUAUCAAACCUAAUUCCCUUUUUUUUCCUCCAUUUUUUUUUUUCUCAGCUUCUGAGUUCAUGAAAUUACAGUUACAUGGAAUUUGGCCCACAGGAAAUCUCUUUUAGAAAAUCUUAUCCGGUUUACUUCACAAUUUUUUUUUUAAAUGUGAAAAUUAAGAACAAUUGCAUGCUGUUGAUCAAGACAUCCAUGUUUAGCAAUUCAUCCUCUCAUUGAAAUAAAUGUAAAUGUUCCAUUUAUUUAAAAGUUUGCGAAUCUUAAGUAGAUGGCAAACAGAUCAAUAAGGUCCAAUAACAGAACAAAUUAAUGGCUAGUAUAUACUGAAAGAGAACUCAAGGGUAUAAAAUAAAAACAAAAUGAUCCAAACUGCAAAGCAUCAUGGCCAUGGCAAGGUCCUUAUUGUUGAACUGGAUGUCUUUCUUUGAUGUUAAUAGUCGUUGUACCCCCAAAAGAUCUUCCUGUUCCUUCUGAUAUCAAUUAUUCAUUCUAUCUAUCCUAUAAUCUGCACGGAAAACAGAGGAAUGUUAAAUACUGUAUGAAUGAUGAAAAUGAGAAAUGUGGUCUGUAUUAUUAUAUAUACUUACAUGAAACUAGAAGAGGCAAUUCAUUUAGUAAUAUGGUGGAGGAGGUGAAGGAGAGGAAGGGGGUGGUGACUUGUGGUGGUAGACUGGUGGUUGGGAUGAUGGAGAAGGUAGUGGUGGGGACUUAUAGUAAUAAGGAGGUUGAGGAGAUGGUGAUGGAGGAGGAGGUAAUUUAUAGUCGUAGUGAGGAGGGGGUGAUGGUGAAGGUAGUGGUGGUGACUUGUAGUAAUACCACGGAGGAAGAGAUGGAGAGGGAGCCAGAGGUGACAUCGGUGGUAGUGAUUUAUAGUAAUAAGGAGGCAGUGAUGAUGGAAAAGGUGGGAGCGGUGGCAGUGAUGAUGGAAAAGGUGGGAGCGGUGGCCGUGAUUUAUAGUAAUAAGGAGGUAGUGAUGAUGGAAAAGGUGGGGAUGCAAAAGUAUUAGGAUUGUGAGGCUCGUCUUCAGCAGCUACAUUAGCAGCAAUCAAGCACAAAGCCAAGGCACAAAUCAGGUGAGGCCAAAAAUUGGCCAUUUCCGGAACACGAGAAAAUUUCACUCCUGCAACUCAAGAACUUCUAUUUCUUAGAACAGAAGGGAUUUUGUGAAUGAUGCUUCAAGCUAGAGGCUCAGAGUUUAUAUAGUCAUCCUUUCCAUAAUUCUUUCAUUUGUUUAAUUAAUAGUCGUUGAAGCCUCC